AAAAGAUUAGUUAAACCUAUAACAUUAGUUUGUCAAAUUAAAAUUAUUUAUUUUAAGUAUCUUUUA
RNAcentral lists this transfer RNA (66 nucleotides) under Agyrtodes labralis. RNAcentral describes it as "tRNA-Asp". Lineage: Eukaryota; Metazoa; Arthropoda; Insecta; Coleoptera; Leiodidae. The record is from RNAcentral.